GAUGGCAUGGCAAGCAGGCACAGGCGCACCCAGAAACCCUUUGUGAACUUAUACCUUACUGUUGCCUCGGCGCUAGCUGGUCCUCCGGGGCCCCUCCUUCUGGAGGAGCAGGCACGCCGGCGGCCAACCUAACUCUUGUUUUUACACUGAAACUCUGAGAAUAAAACAUAAAUGAAUCAAAACUUUCAACAACGGAUCUCUUGGUUCUGGCAUCGAUGAAGAACGCAGCGAAAUGCGAUAAGUAAUGUGAAUUGCAGAAUUCAGUGAAUCAUCGAAUCUUUGAACGCACAUUGCGCCCUCUGGUACUCCGGAGGGCAUGCCUGUUCGAGCGUCAUUUCAACCCUCAAGCCUGGCUUGGUGAUGGGGCACUGCCUGUAAAAGGGCAGGCCCUGAAAUUCAGUGGCGAGCUCGCCAGGACCCCGAGCGCAGUAGUUAAACCCUCGCUCUGGAAGGCCCUGGCGGUGCCCUGCCGUUAAACCCCCAACUUCUGAAAAUUUGACCUCGGAUCAGGUAGGAAUACCCGCUGAACUUAAGCAUAUCAAUAGGCCCGGAGGAA
Molecule: ribosomal RNA, 556 nt
Filed under: Cytospora chrysosperma
Lineage: Eukaryota; Fungi; Ascomycota; Sordariomycetes; Diaporthales; Cytosporaceae
Description: eukaryotic LSU rRNA
Rfam family: 5.8S ribosomal RNA (bases 181-334)
Source: RNAcentral